Molecule: long non-coding RNA, 246 nt
Filed under: Homo sapiens (human)
Lineage: Eukaryota; Metazoa; Chordata; Mammalia; Primates; Hominidae
Description: PREDICTED lncRNA (TCONS_00275923)
Source: RNAcentral
GCGGCUUCCAAGCCCAUGCUGAUCAGCAUCACUUGCCUCUGGCCACCCUCCCCUGUGACCGGCAGCACAUGUCGCCCCACGCGGCCCCGGCUUGGGGAGCGUAAGGCAUGUGGGCCUCCAUGCGGCCGCCAGACGAGGGCGGGACCGGGACGCUUCGCCCUGCCUGGGGCUCCUGGUGGCCCCCAGUGACAGGGCGGUGGGCGCUGUGCAUGUAAUCUAAACCCAGAAAGAGAAUCAACAGAUGAG